GUCAGGCCAAAUCUAUUUUCACGUUUUUAUUUGACAAUCGAAGAGUACAGAUGACGAUGGCGGCCGAGAUCGAAGAAUGUUGCCUCAACCAUCCCUGUUAAUGUUUCGCCGGCAUCGCCGUUGUCAUCGGCAGAUCUCGAUUUGACUUUAAAGAGAGACGCGAGAGUGAGAGAGUUAUGUCGGAUUGAGAGAGAUGGCGAGUUACGAAGAUGAAU
This 215-nucleotide long non-coding RNA is filed under the name Medicago truncatula (barrel medic). RNAcentral describes it as "long non-coding RNA (MTRU_LNC006521)". The record is from RNAcentral. Lineage: Eukaryota; Viridiplantae; Streptophyta; Magnoliopsida; Fabales; Fabaceae.